UGGGGAAUUUUGCACAAUGGAGGAAACUCUGAUGCAGCGACGCCGCGUGAGUGAUGAAGAUCUUCGGAUUGUAAAACUCUGUCCUUAGUGAAGAUAAUGACAGUAACUAAGAAGCAAGCCCUGGCUAAAUACGUGCCAGCAGCCGCGGUAAUACGUAUGGGGCAAGCGUAGUCCGGAAUUAUUGGGCGUAAAGGGUACGUAGGCGGUUUAAUAAGUCCUAAUUAAAAGGCUAUGGCUCAACCAUAGUAUGGUUAGGAAACUGUUGAACUUGAGUAGAUGAGGGGAAAGUGGAAUUCCAUGUGUAGCGGUGAAAUGCGUAGAUAUAUGGAGGAACACCAAUGGCGAAGGCAACUUUCUGGAAUCAAACUGACGCUGAGGUACGAAGGCGUGGGGAGCAAACAGG
RNAcentral lists this ribosomal RNA (403 nucleotides) under Fusobacteriota bacterium. RNAcentral's name for it is "Fusobacteria bacterium partial 16S ribosomal RNA". It matches the Rfam family "Bacterial small subunit ribosomal RNA", at positions 355 to 776 of the family's 1533-position model. The record is from RNAcentral. Lineage: Bacteria; Fusobacteriati; Fusobacteriota.